GGUGGCUCAAUGGUAGAGCACUUGCCUUGCAUGCAUGAGGCCCUGGGUUCGAUUCCCCAGCACCA
RNAcentral lists this transfer RNA (65 nucleotides) under Dipodomys ordii (Ord's kangaroo rat). It matches the Rfam family "tRNA". From Rfam's summary of the family: Transfer RNA (tRNA) molecules are approximately 80 nucleotides in length. Their secondary structure includes four short double-helical elements and three loops (D, anti-codon, and T loops). Further hydrogen bonds mediate the characteristic L-shaped molecular structure. tRNAs have two regions of fundamental functional importance: the anti-codon, which is responsible for specific mRNA codon recognition, and the 3' end, to which the tRNAs corresponding amino acid is attached (by aminoacyl-tRNA synthetases). tRNAs cope with the degeneracy of the genetic code in two manners: having more than one tRNA (with a specific anti-codon) for a particular amino acid; and 'wobble' base-pairing, i.e. permitting non-standard base-pairing at the 3rd anti-codon position. Lineage: Eukaryota; Metazoa; Chordata; Mammalia; Rodentia; Heteromyidae. The record is from Rfam by way of RNAcentral.